Molecule: ribosomal RNA, 429 nt
Filed under: Chloroflexota bacterium
Lineage: Bacteria; Bacillati; Chloroflexota
Description: Chloroflexi bacterium partial 16S ribosomal RNA
Rfam family: Bacterial small subunit ribosomal RNA
Source: RNAcentral
UGGGGAAUAUUGCACAAUGGGCGCAAGCCUGAUGCAGCCAUGCCGCGUGUAUGAAGAAGGCCUUCGGGUUGUAAAGUACUUUCAGUCGGGAGGAAGGUGGUAAGGUUAAUAACCUUAUCAAUUGACGUUACCGACAGAAGAAGCACCGGCUAACUCCGUGCCAGCAGCCGCGGUAAUACGGAGGGUGCAAGCGUUAAUCGGAAUUACUGGGCGUAAAGCGCACGCAGGCGGUCUGUCAAGUCGGAUGUGGAAUCCCCGGGCUCAACCUGGGAACUGCAUUCGAAACUGGCAGGCUAGAGUCUUGUAGAGGGGGGUAGAAUGCCAGGUGUAGCGGUGAAAUGCGUAGAGAUCUGGAGGGAUAACGGUGGCGAAGGCGGCCCCCUGGACAAAGACUGACGCUCAGGUGCGAAAGCGUGGGGAGCAAACAGG